AAAAAAAAACAACCAGAAGCCUUUUUGCUAGGGAUUGUAGGACAAGACCUGCCAAGGAAAACAAAGAACUUAUUUAUGUAUGCUACAACAGUCGCAAGAGUUUUGAUAGCACAAGGAUAGAAGAAUGAAGAAAUCCCGACGAAAGAACAGUGGCAAGAGAAACUGAUGAACUAUGCAGAACUGGCUAAAUUGAGGUACAAAUUGUGAGACAAGGACAAUUUUGACUUCAAAGAAGAAUGGAAGCUUUUUACAAAUUACUUAAAAAGACAACAAAAAGAACUGGACUCUUUGGCAGGUUUUGAAUAAACAUUCACAAAUUUUAUUAGUUGAAUAUAUGAUAGAUAAGACAAAGAUAUGUACAAUUUUAUAAUAUGCAGAGAAUAAAAUGCGUUGAGAAAUCAGAGAAAGGAGCUGAGGGAAGUCUUUGGGGGAGGGGGUUGAGGGCGGAGGGGGAAAAGAAUGUAUGUAAUAAUAUGACUGAUAAUUGAUUAUGUUAAAAUUGCUUAAUAAAAAAAUUAUAUAUUUUUUUUUUUUAAAUAUUUUUUAUUGCAUUUUUCCAGAUAGAAAUACAAGGUCAGAUAUACAAAGAAAUAACAGAAAAGAGAAAGAAAAAGAAGAAAAUCAUCUUUCCAAAGCAUUUUUCCAUAACCAACCGGACUUCCCCCCGUCCCCCUCACCUUGCGUUCUUUACAAUAAAAUUUUUCAGCAAAUUAUAACCUUAUUUCAUGCAUUCUUUUGUUCUUUCAAAUACUUGUGAUUUACGUUUAAAAUGCUUAUUGUCAAUUUACACUAAUCAUAUAUAUAAUGUUCUUUUAAACGUUAGUCCUUUCAUUAAUAUAGCUUAGUUUCCCAUACCUUAAUCUUAUUGCUGGAGCUGAAUUCCGUAAUCAUGCGACUUCUUAACAUUCAUAUUACUUAUAAAUUUUUGUAAAUAAUCUUUAAAUUUUUCCAAUCCUCCUCCAUUGCUUCUUCCUCCAAAUCUCGGAUCCUGGCAGUCAUCUCGCCAAUUCCAUGUAGCCCAUCAAUUGCGUCUGCCACUCUUCCAGUGUGGGUAAAUCUUGAAUCUUCCAGUAUUUUGCGAUAAGAAUUCUUGCUGCUGUAGUUGCAUACAUAAAAAGGUUCUAUCCUUCUUUAACACCUUCUGACCGACAAUGCCCAGUAGGAAGGCCUCUGGUUUCUUGGGAAAAGUGUACUUAAACACUUUUUUAACUCAUUAUAGAUCAUUUCCCAGAAGGCCUUCACUUUUGGGCAAGUCCACCAGAGGUGAAAGAAUGUCCCUUCAGCCUCCUUACAUUUCCAACAUUUAUUAUCAGACAAAUGAUAUAUCUUAGCAAGCUUGACUGGGGUCAUGUACCACCUGUAUAUCAUUUUCAUAAUAUUCUCUUUCAAGGCAUUACAUGCCGUGAAUUUCAUACCAGUGGUCCAUAACCUUUCCCAGUCUUCAAACAUAAUGUUGUACCCAAUGUCCUGAGCCCAUUUUAUCAUGGCUGAUUUGACUGGCUAAAUUGAGGUACAAAUUGUGAGACAAGGACAAUUUUGACUUCACAGAAGAAUGGGAGCUUUUUACAAAUUACUUAAAAAGACAACAAAAAGAAUUGGACUCUUUGGCAGGUUUUGAAUAAACAUUCACAAAUUUUAUUAGUUGAAUAUAUGAUAGAUAAGACAAAGAUAUGUACAAUUUUAUAAUAUGC
This 1691-nucleotide long non-coding RNA is filed under the name Podarcis lilfordi (Lilford's wall lizard). Lineage: Eukaryota; Metazoa; Chordata; Lepidosauria; Squamata; Lacertidae. The record is from RNAcentral.